Molecule: ribosomal RNA, 561 nt
Filed under: Trichoderma asperellum
Lineage: Eukaryota; Fungi; Ascomycota; Sordariomycetes; Hypocreales; Hypocreaceae
Description: eukaryotic LSU rRNA
Rfam family: 5.8S ribosomal RNA (bases 185-338)
Source: RNAcentral
CCGAGUUUACAACUCCCAAACCCAAUGUGAACGUUACCAAACUGUUGCCUCGGCGGGGUCACGCCCCGGGUGCGUCGCAGCCCCGGAACCAGGCGCCCGCCGGAGGAACCAACCAAACUCUUUCUGUAGUCCCCUCGCGGACGUAUUUCUUUACAGCUCUGAGCAAAAAUUCAAAAUGAAUCAAAACUUUCAACAACGGAUCUCUUGGUUCUGGCAUCGAUGAAGAACGCAGCGAAAUGCGAUAAGUAAUGUGAAUUGCAGAAUUCAGUGAAUCAUCGAAUCUUUGAACGCACAUUGCGCCCGCCAGUAUUCUGGCGGGCAUGCCUGUCCGAGCGUCAUUUCAACCCUCGAACCCCUCCGGGGGAUCGGCGUUGGGGAUCGGGACCCCUCACACGGGUGCCGGCCCCUAAAUACAGUGGCGGUCUCGCCGCAGCCUCUCCUGCGCAGUAGUUUGCACAACUCGCACCGGGAGCGCGGCGCGUCCACGUCCGUAAAACACCCAACUUUCUGAAAUGUUGACCUCGGAUCAGGUAGGAAUACCCGCUGAACUUAAGCAUAUCA